GAUGAACGCUGGCGGCGUGCCUAAUACAUGCAAGUCGAGCGAACAGACGAGGAGCUUGCUCCUCUGACGUUAGCGGCGGACGGGUGAGUAACACGUGGAUAACCUCCCUAUCAGACUGGGAUAACUUCGGGAAACCGGAGCUAAUACCGGAUAAUAUAUUGAACAGCAUGGUUCAAUAGUGAAAGACGGUUUUGCUGUCACUUAUAGAUGUAUCCGCGCCGCAUUAGCUAGUUGGUAAGGUAACGGCUUACCAAGGCAACGAUGCGUAGCCGACCUGAGAGGGUGAUCGGCCACACUGGAACUGAGACACGGUCCAGACUCCUACGGGAGGCAGCAGUAGGGAAUCUUCCGCAAUGGGCGAAAGCCUGACGGAGCAACGCCGCGUGAGUGAUGAAGGUCUUCGGAUCGUAAAACGCUGUUAUUAGGGAAGAACAAAUGUGUAAGUAACUAUGCACGUAUUGACGGUACCUAAUCAGAAAGCCACGGCUAACUACGUG
Molecule: ribosomal RNA, 497 nt
Filed under: uncultured bacterium
Lineage: Bacteria
Description: partial 16S ribosomal RNA
Rfam family: Bacterial small subunit ribosomal RNA
Source: RNAcentral